GGGGGUGGAUUUUAGAAAUAACCCAUUCGUUGGUUAGGUAAAUUAACUUAGUAUUUUGAAUUUAAGGCAUAAGGGGCGUCUUCAGUUGUCAGGCCUUUGUCGGAACUUAUAGUUCCUCCUUUUUUAGGAAGGAGGGGGGUGUUGUAUCUUUACCCUAAGCCCCGGGUUCUCCCUAUUAGGAGUAGACAACUGAUACCAUUCUCCCUGCCAGGAGUAGACGAUGGACACCAAUGGGCCUCUGGUUGGAUACAGCGGAUGUCAGAGCCUGCGCACGCCUGCAGCGCCCUCUUCACCUUAUGGUCAACAAUACGUUAGACGCAAUAACGAAGACACAGUAAGUUAACAACGCCCGAGUUAUAGG
This 361-nucleotide long non-coding RNA is filed under the name Mytilus galloprovincialis (Mediterranean mussel). The record is from RNAcentral. Lineage: Eukaryota; Metazoa; Mollusca; Bivalvia; Mytilida; Mytilidae.